ACUUGUAAUGGUCUUCUGGUUGCA
Molecule: small nuclear RNA, 24 nt
Filed under: Arabidopsis thaliana (thale cress)
Lineage: Eukaryota; Viridiplantae; Streptophyta; Magnoliopsida; Brassicales; Brassicaceae
Description: snRNA_16662
Source: RNAcentral